UACGGGGGGAGCAAGCGUUGUUCGGAUUUACUGGGCGUAAAGGGCGCGUAGGCGGUCGUGACAAGUCACUUGUGAAAUCUCCGGGCUUAACUCGGAACGGUCAAGUGAUACUGUCGGACUAGAGUACAGAAGGGGCAACUGGAAUUCUCGGUGUAGCGGUGAAAUGCGUAGAUAUCUGGAGGAACACCGGUGGCGAAGGCGGCAUCCUGGACCAACACUGACGCUGAGUGAGCGAAAGCCAGGGGAGCAAACGGG
This 255-nucleotide ribosomal RNA is filed under the name uncultured bacterium. Its description in RNAcentral is "partial 16S ribosomal RNA". It matches the Rfam family "Bacterial small subunit ribosomal RNA", at positions 524 to 776 of the family's 1533-position model. The record is from RNAcentral.